This 253-nucleotide ribosomal RNA is filed under the name uncultured bacterium. RNAcentral describes it as "partial 16S ribosomal RNA". It matches the Rfam family "Bacterial small subunit ribosomal RNA", at positions 524 to 776 of the family's 1533-position model. The record is from RNAcentral.
GACGUAGGGGGCAAGCGUUGUCCGGAUUUAUUGGGCGUAAAGAGCGUGUAGGCGGCCGAGCAGGUCCGUUGUGAAAACUCGAGGCUCAACCUCGAGACGUCGAUGGAAACCGCACGGCUAGAGUCCGGAAGAGGAGAGUGGAAUUCCUGGUGUAGCGGUGAAAUGCGCAGAUAUCAGGAAGAACACCCGUGGCGAAGGCGGCUCUCUGGGACGGUACUGACGCUGAGACGCGAAAGCGUGGGGAGCGAACAGG